This 811-nucleotide long non-coding RNA is filed under the name Homo sapiens (human). RNAcentral describes it as "HSALNT0385404". Lineage: Eukaryota; Metazoa; Chordata; Mammalia; Primates; Hominidae. The record is from RNAcentral.
CGGGAUUUGGCGGGGGCCUUCGUCGGCUCCAGUUAGAGCUCGGGUCUCCUCGCCACAGCUCCGAGUCUUUCGUUCUGGGAGGCCCAGGCGGCUUCGCGUUCUGAGAAUAAACAGAACCUCUGUUGCUCUGCGACUUGCAGGCACUGGGAGAUUCGUAGCUAAGACGCCAGGGCAUCCCGGAAGCUGGGAAAUGGUCUCCUGCUAGGGUGAGAAGGGACUGAACACUGAGAGGAAAGGAGUUCUGAGAAGAGACCCCCUCCCCGACCCAGCUGCCACCACAUGAUUCCCACCCACUCCUGAACAUACCAACUAGGCAUUGACAUGUCCCCGUCCAUCCCAGGAGAAGGCUUGACUGUCAGGAAUUGCACCCACAGCACCUUUGCUUCCGGUUUCCUGCCAAAAACCCACACAAGUGCCUGAGGACUCCUGGCUUGUUGUAAUCCCAGACACUGAAUCCGUAGCAGCAGCCUAGUUUCUCCAUCAACCUAGGCUUGUGGACCAUCCAAUCAUAAUCUCAUCUGCCUGCGUGGACCCAGGGAUAUGUCAGAGCAUAGUCCCACCUGGGCCAGUAUCUGUAGCACAAACCAGUCCUUCCACCAACUUGGUACUGCCCCCUGCUCAUGGCUCAAUAGCACCUUCCUCUCUUCUGCCUUUUACUUCCCCACAAGCCCCUUCUUUAUGUGUACACGGUGUUCCCAAGGUCACCCCACAGGUGCCUGAAUCCAGCACCUAUUGGAACUCAGAUGUCUGUGAGCUCAAGACCAUGGCGCUAGAUCUGGCUGUUGUAAGAGCAAAUACAAAUUAGAAAUAC